CUGGGAGGACGACGAGGGGGGAGAGAGUCGCCCCUCCCGCCGCCGACGUGACGGACGACUCCGGCGGGCCAAUGGGAGGCAGCCGCCGCACCCCGGACACCAAUCGCGAGCUCUGUAGGAGGUGGCCAAUCGGAGUGCAAUGAGGGGCAGUGGGCGGGAGGCUCAGAGUGACUGACAGCUCUCAGAGGCAAUAGCUGCGAGCUGCCCGUGCUGGGCGGGCAAAUGAAGGAGAUCUGAGAAGGCAGGAGGCCCAAUGAAACGCGAGUGCCAGAUUCGCGGGGCGGCUUCAGAAUUAGAUUGACGGUUCUGAAGAGUCACGUGGACUGUAAGGCCGGGCCUAGUGGAAGACUCCUAUGGACCGGCUGGGUGGGCGUUAGGUUUGAUAGUCGUGGACACAAGCCAAUGAAUGCACGUGAGAGG
Molecule: long non-coding RNA, 420 nt
Filed under: Homo sapiens (human)
Lineage: Eukaryota; Metazoa; Chordata; Mammalia; Primates; Hominidae
Description: HSALNT0255074
Source: RNAcentral